This 1588-nucleotide long non-coding RNA is filed under the name Homo sapiens (human). Its description in RNAcentral is "HSALNT0099890". Lineage: Eukaryota; Metazoa; Chordata; Mammalia; Primates; Hominidae. The record is from RNAcentral.
AGAGAGUUCUGGCGAGGGCUGCGGGAAGGAAAGGGGGCGGCGUCCUUCACAGGGAGGGUGCAGCUGACCUCCCUCCCCUUGUGCAGACUGGAAAAGAAUGGCCCAGAUCCUCUGGACUCCUCAGAUGAGCGGAUUCAGAGAGAAGCUUUUGAGAGCGUGCUGGCGGAGACAUUUUUCACAAAAGAGCCCUUGCGGUGCUGGUGUCCGUGGCGUGCCUGGAGCAAAGAUAGCAAUUCUUAAGGCCUGUUAUCUAUUAGUUACCCUUGCCUUGGCGGCAGACACAGCUGAGUCCUAACGCAGACUUUUCCAUAUCCCCUCUCCCGCCUCAACAGUGAUCUCUCCUCCCACUUCGAGAGUUAAUUCAGUGCUGCUUUAGCUUUACGCCCCCAUGAAAACAGGAAAACGGUUUGCAGCUUUAUCAUAACCUUGCUUAUGUCUGUUGUUGUAUGUCUCAAAUACCCUGUCCUCAGGAAGGCCCACCAACGCUGGCCGGCCUCCAAGCACCCGGGCCUCUGCUCAUGUACAGCUCCUGAACUGCCCUGCCUCUGAGUUACGGUGGAAAAUGAGCUUAUAUAUGAAGAAGUCAGCGAGUGGACAAAGCCAGGCGCAAUGGAUAGCAAAGAUGUGGAAGUCUCCUCGAUUCAAGUUACAAGAAAACCGCAGCAUGGAGUCUGCUCUCAGCUGUUGGGGAAUUACCGAUGCCUUUGACUAAGUCAAGACUGACUUUUCCAGAAUAUCACCCAAGAGAUAGAGCCGUCCCUGUCCAAGUUUGUGCGCUAGCCCUUCAUGGAGGUCAGAGAGGAAGAAACAAAGGCAGCUGUGGCCUCGGCGGUCACAGUGUCAGAACGCACAAGCCCCAUAAAGAGGUUUCACGCAGGCCACCCAUCCCUUUUCAUUCUCCAGCAGAACAGGACAGAGAGCGUUCUGUUCUGCGGAAGGUCUUCCACUCUACAAGGCAAUCCCUCCAGCUGCUUUGCUGUAUUGUGCUGUCUCCUGUCACACUAUGAAUGCAGUGACCUCAGCCAGCAACAGGGAGAACCCCCCUGCCUCCCGAACAAAGGACCUCACGUGAAAUCCUGAGCUCAGAGCUUACAGAUAUGUGUGCGCUUUCACUUUACAUCGGCCGUGACUUCCAAACAACUUCAGGAAACUUUAGGAUCUCUGAGGUAUACUGGAGAUGACAGCAGCGUAGAAUGUUCAUUUGGAUUUAGAACAGAAAUGCUUAUUUUAUAUUUGGCUGCUCCCAAACUGUCCCCAGACUUCCUCUCCAGUGGUUACCCUCCACUGCCCUGGAUGUCCCACGUUUACACUCCACACUCACACCUCCACCUUAACAAAGUCCUCCACUGGGUCAAACCAUACAUCGCUUCGUCUCUGUAGUGAUGACUUCCUGUCCUCUGCUCUGUGGAUAAAGACCCCAGAUAAAGAUGCCUGUGUUGCUCAACUCUUGUAAAUACUCUUGAGACAUUUUGAAAGCAGAAGGAAAGGAGACAGACGGGGAAAAUAAAAGGGAUGGUCUGCUUGUGCGGAAACGUUUUGAGAAUGCCCUUCCCUAAGAGAGAACAGUAAAAGUGAGCAAUACUUCCUG